Molecule: non-coding RNA, 29 nt
Filed under: Rattus norvegicus (Norway rat)
Lineage: Eukaryota; Metazoa; Chordata; Mammalia; Rodentia; Muridae
Source: RNAcentral
GAAACUGUGUUGUGUGUUGUGUGUUGUCU